AAUUUAAUAUGGACAAUCAAGUAAAUCUUAUUGAACUUGUCCAAUGCGCUGGUUGGAAACCUCUGUAAGUUGGCAUUUAGUUAUAUUAAUGUACUUUGUGGAUGUGUCAGGUAUACUUAGUUAUUAUUUUAUUUAUUUAGGGAAAAUUAGCAGGAUGUUCAAUUUACUCGUGGAGGGAUUUUGCUUGGUGUGUGGCUCUAGAAUGGCUAUGGGUGAAUUUGAAUUUGAAUCGAAAUUUAGCUCCUCCAGGUUGGUUUCUUCAACGAACGUGCCAUGGCCUAGUUCAUUAUUUGAAUCGAAAUAUAGCUCCUGGUUUCUUGAACAGAGCUCCAACGGAAACAAACUAUAUGUAUGUUCGAUCUCACAGUAGUCAAAGUUAAUUUUUACAACCCGACCUUUAUUUGAAUGAUUGUCUUAAUGGGAAACUUUGACAAAAUUAUUUGAAUAACGUGUCCAUUUGUAACCCAGAUUCUGAUAGUUCCCUCCCCCUUCCCACUUUCUAAAGCAUCAUGGUUUUAUGAAAAAUGUGUGGUUUGUGGCAGGAAAGAAUUCUGAUUGCGGCAUCUUAGCUUUAAUCACACAAUCCUACCGUUGGACUAAAGGACGAAAUGAAAGAAAAAUAAAAAUUAUUAACGAAUUAUUAUCUAGUACGAAUUAAAAAAUUUAGUGUGUACAUUGUACAUUGUACAUUUGGUUUUGGUCAAUAUAGCUCGUUGUGUACGCAUGAAGUGUAAUAUGGAAAGUUAACGUCUGAUCCUUUUUUAAGUAAAAAUUUAUUUUUUACAAUAUAUUCUCAUGUUAUGUUUCCGUUUGAAGUGAUUUUUCCAUGAAAAAAAAAUUGAUUUUUUUAAUUGUUAUUUCACUGUUCAAGCAGUAAUUCUUAAUUUCCAUUCACAGGUGGUGUCACUUUUCUCGGUUAAAAAAUUAAUUUUUUGUAUCAUUAACGAACAGGGUCUCUUUUGCACGUAUUUUUUAAUUGACUCAUUUGCUCAACUAAAGAAGGGCUCGAAGAUGAGCUUCUCUUGUUUGGUCUCCCCCGUUAAAAUUGAAAUAUAUUUUUGUUUUUAUUUUCAAUCCCAUGUUCUUCAAUGAGAAAAGGUACUGUUGCAAAGCGAGCUCAAAUUUUUUUUUUCUUUUCUCGACUAUUGAUCAUUUUUCAGUAAGUUACUAUGUCGAGAAUUUUCUCUCUCUUUUAUUCUACAUUUUAACCAAGAUCUCUGGUCGUUGUUUUUCAUAUGAUGCUGGCUGGACAUUGGACAUUUUUUGCUUAAACACAAUGCGUGGGAUCCUUGGUUCAGCGUAUUGUGAUAUAUGCAUAGCAUAAUUCUUGUUUUUUAUGAUAAUGGGUUGUCAAACAGGAGCUAAAAUCAAAUGGAUGUUAGAUGUAGUCUCGUGAUAAUAAGGUGUAUUUUGAUUGAUGUGGUCGAGUGGGCGGGGAUUAGCUUGAAUUUGUAUUAAUUACUAAAACAAUUUCAAUUUUAUUAGACAACUUAUUAGCCUAAAUUUAAAAUAUUGUGCAUUCCUGGAGUGUUCAUGGGGACCGGAUUACGUACUAAUGAUGUUUUUAGACUAUUUUAGAAGGCUAGUAGUGUUUUUAGACUAUUCUAGAUCAAAGGCUGCUGUUAACUCUCUUGUGAAUGGAUGGAUCCAUAAGCUCAAAAAUGGGGGAGCGCUCAAUUUGCUUAAUGCGUUUGAGAGGGUGGUGGUUCGAUUCCACCUGGAUUCGCUAUUUUUAGUUUUCAAAAAUUUAUGUAGUCCUCGUUUGUAGCAAUUUUUAACACAAAAUAAUUCAUUUUUUUGAACGUUUUCUUUAUGUCAACGGUUAUUUUCAAAUUCUAUACUUACAGGUGGUACUCUCCUUUUUUUUUUUUUUUUUUUUUUUUUUUUUUUUUUUAAAUUUAGUCCAAAGGUCAAAAUUAAUUGUUAUAAUACUUAUUGAUCAAGUCCAUGAUGCUAUUUGUAUCUGACGUACAUGCUCUUCCGGAUUAGUUGACUAUUAAAACACUCAAUUGUUUAUUAUUAAUUGUAACCCACUUUCUGACGGGGCAAUUUUGCUGUGAAGUUGCUGAAUUGUCCGCAGCAAAUCUAGCAAUGCUAAUCGUUUUAUAAUUUUCUUAAUGAGGGAAAAUCGUUGAAAGGUUCUUUUUAGAUAUAAAAUUAUUUUAAUCCUUUUGAGUUUUAUUUUUUAGAAAGUACUCUCCUGGAGGAAGAUUCAGGUCAAAAGGUGUAGUGGAUGGACGAUAAUUGAAUAUUUCUAUACUAUUCCUCGUUGGUCUUGAGGGACGGAGAAGGUUAGAUUAGUCAAAAGUUGAUUAUUGAUUCAUUUUUCUUUUAUCAAAAAUAGUCAUCAGCCUAUUCGAUACACUUUAGGUUGUUAACCAGUCAUGCUUACAACCAUAUUUUGCACAUGGAGAAUACUUCCAUAAAUGGGCAUUCCUAUUUGCCACACUUUUUUUUUCCCACCAUUUUUAGAUAAUGUUAGAUAAGACUAUUUAAAUAGAAAAGAAAACUUAUUAAUGGUCUUAUGAAAAAUUAGGUCGGGGGAAAAAAAAUUGACUAAAUCAAAUCGAUUCGACUCGGAUCGGUUUGACACAAAUAUUUAGUUUUUUUUUUUUUUUUUUAAACAAAAUCAUGAUAUGUCAGUUCAAUCAUAAUUUGUAAUAUUAAACGGUUGGUUAAUUGAAUCAACUUAACUAACUCGUGUUCACAUUUUUUUUAAGAAAAAUAAAAAUUAAAAGAUAAAUUAUAAUUUCAUAACUAGAUUUUGAUUCUCUUUUUCAAUUUAUGAGGUUGUCAGUAAGUAAUAGUAUUGGAAAUUUUCUUUUAAAAAGUUAUUAUGUCAUACUUAUUUUUUUUUUUUUUCAUAUUUAAGCAUUCAGACAAUAUAAUAUAUGAAAAAGCAAUAAGAUUUUUAAAUUAUUGAUACGUCUCUAUUUACCUAAUUUUAUUUGUUAAUCAAUACUUCAUUCAAUAAAAAAUUAUUUGGUUAUUUUAGUUUUUGUAAUUUUAGUGAGCCUAAAAUCUGGACAAAUUCAUUUAAAAAAAUUUAAUUUGAACUAAAAGUCCAUCUAUCAAUCAAGUCGAACAAAAUCAGAUCGAUUUGGUUUAUAUUAAAGUGUAAAUUGUACCACACCUUACUUUAAAAAUUCAGAAUUCUAAAAUUAAAUUGGAUGUUUAAUGGUUCAAAAAUCAAACGUUUUAUUAAUUAAUUGAUAUAUAUGUAAAAAUUAAAUAUACAACAAUCGUAAUUAUUUCAUCCUUUCCAUUCUCUCUCCAUCUCUCACUUCUCUUUCUUGCACAUCAUCGUCGAUACCGCAGGUACUAUGCUGCUCACGACGUCUACACCACACCAUGGCCCUGAAGACGUUACCACAGCAGCAACAUUACCCCGGAGCAGCCCAUUGCGUCGGUGCUGAAGGGGCCACCACUGCAGUGGUGUCGAUCCAAAACAGCCAACGCCGCUAUGGAGUGACGUCGCCCUUAGCCAUUCUCAGCCUUCUUGUCCCAGUGAAUUUUUUACACAUCGAGGCUGUCCUUCGUCAUUCCCGUCUUUUUCUUUGCCACUCUGUCUCUCUUCGUCGCUUGACUCUCUAUUCGUCGCAUCGGUGGUUUUGUAGAUCAUUGUUGGAUUUGGGUUGGUAGAUCAGUGGUUUGCUGCAACGGCGUUGAAUUUAGGUUUGGUGGCGAGGGUGAGUAGAUCGGUGGUGUGUGGGAUUGGCGCCGAAUUUGGGUUUGAAACUGGUUUUGGUGUCGGAUUUGGAAAUGAAGGAGAUGCAAUCGGCCCAGCGUUAGUUGGUGGCAUUAGCUUCGGUCAUGGUGUUGAUCAUUCAAUUUUGGUUUGUUGGGUUGUGUCUGUGUUGAUGGUAGUGCAUCUAUGUUAUGUUGUUGAGUUGUGGUGGUGGUGUGAUUGUGCAGGCGAUGGUUUUGUUGGUCGUUGCGCGAUGACUUUGUUGACGUUUUGGGCGACAAUUUUGUUGGCAUUUGGGCGGGGAUUGGUGUGCCUGUGAUCUGAUGUUUCCGUGGCGAUAUUGGAUUGUGACCAUUAAAUUGGUUAGUUUGUAGUUAAUAAAUAAUAUGUUAUCAAUGAAAAUGAUAAAUUGUGAACAUGAAAUAAUGUGAUCUGAAAAAUGGUUAAUUUGUGACUGAUAAUUUGAUAAUUUGUGACUGUAUAGUAAGUUUCGAAUAUUUAUAAUUUGUGAUCAAUAAAUCGUGACUUAUAAAUAUUUUGAUUUGUGAUUGGUGAACAAAUUGUAAUCUAUAAAAUUUUUGAAUUGUUAUCGAAAAAUAAUUUAUGAAAUAAAAUUUUUAAUUUGUGAC
RNAcentral lists this long non-coding RNA (4317 nucleotides) under Olea europaea (common olive). Its description in RNAcentral is "long non-coding RNA (OEUR_LNC005555)". Lineage: Eukaryota; Viridiplantae; Streptophyta; Magnoliopsida; Lamiales; Oleaceae. The record is from RNAcentral.